UACGGAGGGGGCGAGCGUUGUCCGAAGUUACUGGGCGUAAAGCGCGCGUAGGCGGGUUGGCAAGUCCGCUGUGAAAGCCCGAGGCUCAACCUCGGAGGGUCGGUGGAUACUGCCAGUCUUGAAGCAGCUAGGGGAAGAUGGAAUUACCGGUGUAGCGGUGAAAUGCGUAGAUAUCGGGAGGAACACCUGUGGCGAAAGCGGCUCACUGGACCACAA
Molecule: ribosomal RNA, 216 nt
Filed under: uncultured prokaryote
Description: partial 16S ribosomal RNA
Rfam family: Bacterial small subunit ribosomal RNA
Source: RNAcentral